RNAcentral lists this long non-coding RNA (514 nucleotides) under Mytilus galloprovincialis (Mediterranean mussel). The record is from RNAcentral. Lineage: Eukaryota; Metazoa; Mollusca; Bivalvia; Mytilida; Mytilidae.
AUAUUAUGCUUAUAUUUGCAAAUUUAUAAUUUAAACACUUUUUGUGUAAAGUUUUAGUUUUCUUUUUCGCUGCUUGCUAUGUACAAUUAUUCAGUCCACUAUAUAAGAGUCAAGUCAAUAAAUUAUUUCAUCCACUAGAAUAUUCCUGCAAUUCUUAGACAAAACAUUUUUCAAUCUGUUCUUCAAAGAUCCUCCUCGGUACAUCUUUAUUGGAUGGAGCGAUUCAAAUGAGAAGACAAAGCAGGUUUAUUUGGACAACAACAUACUAAUAUUUUUUCAUUCGUUCCUUCUUUCAAUUGAUAAUUACAUUGUUGCAUUUACAAGAUCAAGUUCUUGAGCAUCUAUGAUCGUGAUGAUAUGACUCCUUUUUGUUUAUAGUCAUUAUGUUGAAAUUUCCUUUUUCUAUCAAAUGGUAAAUAAUAGUGUUUCAAGAAAGUAUUCUAUAAUUCAUAAAUAAACAUAUAUUGAUACUUACAUUAUCUACUUUGUUGUUUAAAAGUUUAGUUUUGAACAG